UGAAUACGAGAUGCUACGGCGUCGAAGCAGUCUAUGUCAUACUUCCAAGAAAAGCUCGCACUGUCAUAAACAAAUAAUGCCUGUACCAUAACCGACACAGGUGGGUAGGUAGAGUAUACUAAGGGGCGCGAGAUAACUCUCUCUAAGGAACUCGGCAAAAUGACUCCGUAACUUCGGGAGAAGGAGUGCCUUAUUUAUAAGGUUGCAAUAACAAGAUCCAAGCAACUGUUUAUCAAAAACACAGGUCUCCGCUAAGUCGUAAGACGAUGUAUGGGGGCUGACGCCUGCCCAGUGCCAGAAGGUUAAAGAAGUUGGUUAGCAUUCGCGAAGCUGAUAACUGAAGCCCUGGUGAACGGCGGCCGUAACUAUAACGGUCCUAAGGUAGCGAAAUUCCUUGUCGGGUAAGUUCCGACCCGCACGAAAGGCGUAAUGAUUUGGAUACUGUCUCGGAGAGGGGCUCGGUGAAAUAGACUUGUCUGUGAAGAUGCGGACUACCUGCACCAGGACAGAAAGACCCUAUGAAGCUUUACUGUAACUUGAGAUUGAAAUUGGACUUUACAUGCGCAGUAUAGGUGGGAGGCGUUGAUAAUAUUCUUGCGGGAUUAUUUGAGCCAUCAGUGAGAUACCACUCUUGUAAUGUUAGAUUUCUAACUUUGUAUCAUUAUCUGGUCAAAGGACAGUUUCAGGCGGGCAGUUUGACUGGGGCGGUCGCCUCCUAAACGGUAACGGAGGCGCACAAAGGUUUCCUCUGAACGGGUAGAAAUCGUAUCUAGAGUGUAAAGGCAUAAGGAAGCUUGACUGUGAGACCUACAAGUCGAGCAGGGACGAAAGUCGGUCUUAGUGAUCUGACGGUGCUGAGUGGGAAGGCCGUCGCUCAACGGAUAAAAGUUACUCUAAGGAUAACAGGCUGAUCUCCCCCAAGAGUUCACAUCGACGGGGAGGUUUGGCACCUCGAUGUCGGCUCAUCGCAUCCUGGGGCGGUAGUACGUCCCAAGGGUUGGGCUGUUCGCCCAUGAAAGCGGUACGCGAGCUGGGUUCAGAACGUCGUGAGACAGUUCGGUCCAUAUCCGGUGUAGGCGUUAGAAUAUUGAGAGGAGCCUUCUUUAGUACGAGAGGACCGAGAAGGACAUACCUCUGGUGUACCAGUUAUCGUGCCAACGGUAAACGCUGGGUAGCUAUGUAUGGAGUGGAUAACCGCUGAAAGCAUCUAAGUGGGAAGCCCACCUCAAGAUAAGUAUUCUCAUC
RNAcentral lists this ribosomal RNA (1245 nucleotides) under metagenome. RNAcentral's name for it is "bacterial LSU rRNA". It matches the Rfam family "Bacterial large subunit ribosomal RNA", at positions 1564 to 2818 of the family's 2925-position model. The record is from RNAcentral.